AGCGCACGCCGCGUGGGGGAUGAAGGCUCUCGGGUUGUAAACCCCUUUCAGCAGGGACGAAUUUUGACGGUACCUGCAGAAGAAGCCCCGGCUAACUACGUGCCAGCAGCCGCGGUAACACGUAGGGGGCAAGCGUUGUCCGGAUUUAUUGGGCGUAAAGAGCUCGUAGGUGGCUGAGUAAGUCGGAUGUUAAAUCUCCAGGCUCAACCUGGAACACCACCCGAUACUGCUCUGGCUAGAGUCCGGUAGGGGAGUGUGGAAUUCCUGGUGUAGCGGUGAAAUGCGCAGAUAUCAGGAGGAACACCAGCGGCGAAGGCGGCACUCUGGGCCGGUACUGACACUGAGGAGCGAAAGCAUGGGUAGCAAACAGGAUUAGAUACCCUGGUAGA
This 389-nucleotide ribosomal RNA is filed under the name uncultured bacterium. RNAcentral's name for it is "bacterial SSU rRNA". It matches the Rfam family "Bacterial small subunit ribosomal RNA", at positions 390 to 794 of the family's 1533-position model. The record is from RNAcentral.